This 151-nucleotide unclassified non-coding RNA is filed under the name uncultured Ascomycota. RNAcentral describes it as "sequence contains ITS2". The record is from RNAcentral. Lineage: Eukaryota; Fungi; Ascomycota.
CACCCCUCAAACCUCCUUUGGUUUGGUGUUGGGCGAGGCCCGGCGAGGGCCCGCCUCAAAAUCAGUGACGGUGAUCUAUCCACCUCGGGCGUACAAGUAUCGCGACGUAGGGCGGUAGAGCACCGGUUUUCUUCCUCGGAAGACUUCUGAA